Molecule: long non-coding RNA, 803 nt
Organism: Danio aesculapii
Lineage: Eukaryota; Metazoa; Chordata; Actinopteri; Cypriniformes; Danionidae
Exons: 2
Source: RefSeq, a predicted model, not a curated record
AGUCCCAGCAGGCUUAGCGCCACAUAUGGAAGUGUUGUUGUUUACAUGCGGACACUUUAUAUCCUGGUUGUGGCGUAAAUUAACAACAGUGCUAUUACGGGAUCAUUGCCUACUGAUUGUUGCCUGAGUGUCAGAAUGGGAAACUAUGGAUCUUAAAGGUAUUGUUUAAAACAAAGAAGGGUUUUAUUUUGAUUUUAAUUUGUGUUUUAUUUAUAGGAUGUUUUAUUUUGUUUGUAAUUUUUAUGUUCUGAGUUUCUGUGUUGUAAUGAACUGUUUUCCCUUUUUCAGGGAAGCACAGUUGCCGUUCACUUUAGACCUACAAUAAUAUUUUUGUUAUUAAAUCUUUUCUUUUUGACAUUUGUUGUAUGUGAACUUGGGUUAUUUAUUAUGCUGUUAGUUUGACAACUGUUUGUAUUUGUAUUUUCCUUUGUUCACCUUUUCUUUCUUUUGUAGGUUUUAUUUUUGGAUUUGCUUUAUACCAUCAGUGGCCACUGGGUUCCCUGCACUGUGAGGAUGGCGGUGGAGAAAAGGUGGUUGGUAUUGUGUGGUGAUUUGGUCACUUUAUUGAUUUUAUGUUUUUAGGUUGCAGGGAGAUUGCUGUGAGCUGAGUGUGGUGAGAACACUGCUGCUUGGGUCCCUCAUCUGUCCUCACUUUCUGAGUAACCGGUGGCCAUUAGUGGUUUGUUUUUUUCUUUUUAUUUUGUUUAGUUUAUUUACUUUUCCCUUCUUGUUUGCAUUAGAGAUGGAGAAUAUUUGUCUUUUUAUACUCUAACCUGUGAAAUAAAAUUUAAUUGUUUUCCUGA